CCUGCCCCGCGCCCCGCACGCUCCCGGGUGCCGGGGAUGAGGACGGGCAGCGCAAGGGCAGAGUGCGAGCUGGACGCCCCUCCCUGUGCCGGCGUCCUUGCCUGCUCGUUAGCGGCUGGAAGUGUCGCUGUUUCACCCGAACGCGAGACGAGCUUCAACAAGUUGGUUGUGAACCCUUGAAGUCAAUAAAAAUAGACAAAGCAGAAAAACACGAGAGCCGACGUCCCCGCGGGUUUAAGUGAUCUGCUCCCACGACGCUCCCAGUGUGAGCCUCAGGCAAACGGGCGUUGGAUUAGUCGGGAGACGGACAGGCUGCGGUUAUUCUGGGUGAACUGGUCUCCGUCUGUCCUGUGGCUGCCAUGGGCUGACCCAGAUAACACACACCGGGGCUGUGCACGCUCCAGCAGGAAAGCUCACACACGCACGUUCACACAUGCAGGCACACUCACACACAAGCACACACACUCAUGCACACACGCUCACACAUGCAUGCACACUCACACACAAGCACACACACAUGCACACACGCAGGCACACACAGAUGCACACACACGCAUGGUCAUACACAUGCACACUCAUGUACACACACAUGCACAUUCCAAUAGAAAAGCUCACACACACGCAUGCUCACACAACACAUGCACACACAUACACUCAUGCACACACAGACUCAUGCACACUCACACAUACAUGCUCACAAGUCACACACAUACAGGCACACUGUCACAUGAUCACACACGCACACCCACACAGGCACACUCACACACAGGCACGUUCAUACAGGCACACACACACCUGCACACACACUCAUGAACACACACACACGCAUGCACACAGGCACAGCCACACACAUGCACACCCCCACUUGCAUGCUCACAGCCACACAGGCACACUCACACACAUGCACACUCACACAGGCACACUGUCACAUACUCACACACACAGGCACACACAUGCACACACACUCAUGAACACAUACACAUGCACACAGGCAUGGUCACACACAUGCACACCCCACAUGCAUGCUCACAGUCACAAGGACACUCACACAUGCACACUCGCACACAGGCACACUGUCACAUGCUCACACACACUCACACACAUGCACACUCACACACAGGCACACACAUGCACACACACUCAUGAACACACACACAGGCACACUCACACAAGGCACACUCACACACAGGCACACUCACACACAUGCACACAGGCAUGGUCACACACAUGCACACCCCACAUGCAUGCUCACGGUCACACAUACACACUCACACAUGCAUAUUCACACGCAUGUACACUCACACACAGGCACACUCACACACUCGCACACAGGCACACUGUCACAUGCUCACACACGUGCAGUCGCAGAGCAGGGGUGGGGUCCUGGGGACAGCUCAGCUGCUGCUCCCCCACUCCUCCCGCCCAUGGAAGGCCCCCUGGGGUGGGGCUGCCCUGCCUGUGUCCGGUGCCCUCCCCCCGCCUUCCUUCCAGCCCCCAGCAGCUGGGCAGCCUCUGGUUCAGAGAAUCGUGCGUCCCCCCUCCCCUGGGGCCCCUCUCUGCACAGGCAGUGUCCACUCGGGGCCGCGGAGGGUUCCGAGUCAGGGGCUGCCGGGGGCCUCGUCCCAGCCCGGGAGCCCGCCGCCCGCUCACCGCCUCACUUCCUGUCCGGCUCAGGGUGAGUGACAGCACAAGGAGAGCCGACAGCCGCUCCCAGGGCCCCAGCUGCAGGUGGGGGCGGGAGCCUCGGGCACCAACCCUACCGCCUGCACAGGACACUCG
RNAcentral lists this long non-coding RNA (1779 nucleotides) under Oryctolagus cuniculus (rabbit). RNAcentral's name for it is "lncRNA (ENSOCUG00000037855.1)". The record is from RNAcentral. Lineage: Eukaryota; Metazoa; Chordata; Mammalia; Lagomorpha; Leporidae.